GUGGGGAAUAUUGGACAAUGGGGGGAACCCAGAUCCAGCCAUGCCGCGUGUGUGAAGAAGGCCUUUUGGUUGUAAAGCACUUUAAGCGAGGAGGAGGCUACCGAGAUUAAUACUCUUGGAUAGUGGACGUUACUCGCAGAAUAAGCACCGGCUAACUCUGUGCCAGCAGCCGCGGUAAUACAGAGGGUGCAAGCGUUAAUCGGAUUUACUGGGCGUAAAGCGCGCGUAGGUGGCCAAUUAAGUCAAAUGUGAAAUCCCCGAGCUUAACUUGGGAAUUGCAUUCGAUACUGGUUGGCUAGAGUAUGGGAGAGGAUGGUAGAAUUCCAGGUGUAGCGGUGAAAUGCGUAGAGAUCUGGAGGAAUACCGAUGGCGAAGGCAGCCAUCUGGCCUAAUACUGACACUGAGGUGCGAAAGCAUGGGGAGCAAACAGGAUUAGAAACCCGGGUAGUCC
This 451-nucleotide ribosomal RNA is filed under the name uncultured bacterium. RNAcentral describes it as "partial 16S ribosomal RNA". It matches the Rfam family "Bacterial small subunit ribosomal RNA", at positions 354 to 796 of the family's 1533-position model. The record is from RNAcentral.